UAUCUCUGUAGAGUCUGCAUAUCAAUAAGCGGAGGAAAAGAAACUAACAAGGAUUCCCUUAGUAACGGCGAGUGAAGCGGGAAGAGCUCAAAUUUGAAAUCUUCAAGGUUUUACCUUGACGAAUUGUAGUUUAAAGAAGUGUUUUCUGUUGAAGUUUCGGUAAAAGUUCUUUGGAAUAGGACAUCAUAGAGGGUGAGAAUCCCGUAUUUGACCGUUAUUUUCAGCUGUGUGAUACACUUUCAAAGAGUCGGAUUGUUUGGGAAUGCAGUCCAAAAUGGGUGGUAAAUUUCAUCUAAAGCUAAAUAUUGGCGAGAGACCGAUAGCGAACAAGUACCGUGAGGGAAAGAUGAAAAGAACUUUGAAAAGAGAGUUAAACAGUACGUGAAAUUGUCAAAAGGGAAGCGUUUGACACCAGUGUUGUUUUCUCGAAAAUCAAUUAAAAAUGGCUUGAUUUUGUGUUGUAUUGACCUUAAAAGCUUUCUUCACUUUUUUCAUGUCCUUUUUAAUGCACUUUUCGUUUAACAAGUCAACAUCAGUUUCUUUCGUUGUAAAAAGGUCAUUGGAAGGUGGCUUUCUUUUCGGAGAAAGUGUUUAUAGCCUUUGACUUCUGCAAUCGGAGAGAUUGAGGUCUGCAGCGUAGAUCCUUCUGGAUUAGAUUCAUUUGUGCUAAGUUACAACCGUUUAUAGACAACUUGUUGACUAUAUUCGAUCCUGUAGCUUACUCGCUUAUGUAAUUUUACCUACGCUUAGGAUGUUGAAGAUGUAGCACAUCAU
Molecule: ribosomal RNA, 774 nt
Filed under: uncultured Neocallimastigales
Lineage: Eukaryota; Fungi; Neocallimastigomycota; Neocallimastigomycetes; Neocallimastigales
Description: partial large subunit ribosomal RNA
Rfam family: Eukaryotic large subunit ribosomal RNA
Source: RNAcentral